GGGUUUUUAGGUCAUUUCCGGAAGCACCUUGAGUGUUUCUGAGGAAAGUCCGCCCACUUUUGUAGCGACUUUCGAAAGGAAGAUCCAGAAAUGGAUGGCAACGGCUCAGCAACGAAACCUCCGCUGUCAAGGAUGAUAGAUGCGACGUUUCUGGAGACAGAAAUCAGUUAACCUCUGGACGUUUCAGACGGAAAGGGUGAAACGGCAAGAUCCUCGCUUGUGUAAGUCGAAAUUCGACGCGCAGUCAAAUAUGACCACUGACUAUCGCGAUGCCGCUCGUGCAUCGUUUGGGUCACACAGAAGGCGGCUUACAAAAACCC
This 320-nucleotide RNase P RNA is filed under the name Candidatus Woesearchaeota archaeon. RNAcentral describes it as "RNase P RNA component". It matches the Rfam family "Archaeal RNase P". Rfam says of the family: Ribonuclease P (RNase P) is a ubiquitous endoribonuclease, found in archaea, bacteria and eukarya as well as chloroplasts and mitochondria. Its best characterised activity is the generation of mature 5'-ends of tRNAs by cleaving the 5'-leader elements of precursor-tRNAs. Cellular RNase Ps are ribonucleoproteins. The record is from RNAcentral. Lineage: Archaea; Nanobdellati; Candidatus Woesearchaeota.